Molecule: ribosomal RNA, 394 nt
Filed under: uncultured Anaeromyxobacter sp.
Lineage: Bacteria; Pseudomonadati; Myxococcota; Myxococcia; Myxococcales; Anaeromyxobacteraceae
Description: bacterial SSU rRNA
Rfam family: Bacterial small subunit ribosomal RNA
Source: RNAcentral
CGAGAAAGCCCGCAAGGGUGAGUAAAGCGGCGCACGGGUGCGUAACACGUGGGUAAUCUGCCCUAGAGUCCGGAAUAACUCGCCGGAAGGCGUGCUAAUGCCGGAUGAGACCACGGGAGCCUCGGCUCCUGCGGGAAAAGGUGGCCUCUGUAUACAAGCUAUCGCUCUAGGAUGAGCCCGCGGCCCAUCAGCUCGUUGGCGGGGUAAUGGCCCACCAAGGCUACGACGGGUAGCUGGUCUGUGAGGACGAUCAGCCACACUGGAACUGAGACACGGUCCAGACUCCUACGGGAGGCAGCAGUGGGGAAUCUUGCGCAAUGGGCGAAAGCCUGACGCAGCAACGCCGCGUGUGUGAUGAAGGUCCUCGGAUCGUAAAGCACUGUCGCGAGGGACG